Molecule: ribosomal RNA, 232 nt
Filed under: uncultured bacterium
Lineage: Bacteria
Description: partial 16S ribosomal RNA
Rfam family: Bacterial small subunit ribosomal RNA
Source: RNAcentral
GACGAACGCUGGCGGCGUGCUUAACACAUGCAAGUCGAGCGGUAAAGGCCCUUUCGGGGGUACACGAGCGGCGAACGGGUGAGUAACACGUGGGUGACCUGCCCUCAGCUCUGGGAGUAAAGCCUGGGAAACUGGGUCUAAUACUGGAUAUGACUCCACGGUGCAUGUCGUGGGGUGGAAAGCCUUGUGCGGCUGAGGAUGGGCCCGCGGCCUAUCAGCUUGUUGGUGGGGG